CACUCCUACGGGAGGCAGCAGUGGGGAAUUUUGGACAAUGGGCGAAAGCCUGAUCCAGCAAUGCCGCGUGUGUGAAGAAGGCCUUCGGGUUGUAAAGCACUUUUGUCCGGAAAGAAAUCCUUGGCUCUAAUACAGUCGGGGGAUGACGGUACCGGAAGAAUAAGCACCGGCUAACUACGUGCCAGCAGCCGCGGUAAUACGUAGGGUGCGAGCGUUAAUCGGAAUUACUGGGCGUAAAGCGUGCGCAGGCGGUUUGCUAAGACCGAUGUGAAAUCCCCGGGCUCAACCUGGGAACUGCAUUGGUGACUGGCAGGCUAGAGUAUGGCAGAGGGGGGUAGAAUUCCACGUGUAGCAGUGAAAUGCGUAGAGAUGUGGAGGAAUACCGAUGGCGAAGGCAGCCCCCUGGGCCAAUACUGACGCUCAUGCACGAAAGCGUGGGGAGCAAACAGGAUUAGAUACCCCGGUAGUCCCA
This 472-nucleotide ribosomal RNA is filed under the name uncultured organism. RNAcentral's name for it is "partial 16S ribosomal RNA". It matches the Rfam family "Bacterial small subunit ribosomal RNA", at positions 334 to 797 of the family's 1533-position model. The record is from RNAcentral.